Molecule: ribosomal RNA, 414 nt
Filed under: uncultured bacterium
Lineage: Bacteria
Description: bacterial SSU rRNA
Rfam family: Bacterial small subunit ribosomal RNA
Source: RNAcentral
GUCUUGACAUCCCGGUGACCGGACAGUAAUGUGUCCUUUUCUUCGGAACACCGGUGACAGGUGGUGCAUGGUUGUCGUCAGCUCGUGUCGUGAGAUGUUGGGUUAAGUCCCGCAACGAGCGCAACCCUUAUCCCCAGUAGCCAGCGGUUCGGCCGGGCACUCUGAGGAGACUGCCAGGGAUAACCUGGAGGAAGGUGGGGAUGACNUCAAAUCAUCAUGCCCCUUAUGACUUGGGCUACACACGUGCUACAAUGGCGUAAACAAAGGGAAGCGAGACCGUGAGGUGGAACAAAUCCCAAAAAUAACGUCUCAGUUCGGACUGUAGUCUGCAACCCGACUACACGAAGCUGGAAUCGCUAGUAAUCGCAGAUCAGAAUGCUGCGGUGAAUACGUUCCCGGGUCUUGUACACACCG